Octopus bimaculoides (California two-spot octopus) is the source of this 2467-nucleotide long non-coding RNA. RefSeq lists it as uncharacterized. NCBI's taxonomy places the organism in Eukaryota, Metazoa, Mollusca, Cephalopoda, Octopoda, Octopodidae. The record is from RefSeq and is a predicted model, not a curated record.
CGAGCAACCAGUAGUUACCUCGCACCAUCAUCACUAGACAGGUUGUCAGCCAAGACUUCCGAGAAGCCUGUCUACCUUCAUUGAAGCUAAUUAUCCUGCGUUGGACGCCGUCUGCAAUUGGAGCAUCGCUAUUCAACAAUCAUAUAUUAGUCAUUUGACUGCGGCCAUGCUGGAACACUGCCUUUACUCGAGCAAAUCAACUCCAAGACUUAUUCUUUGUAAGCCUAGUACCUAUUCUAUCGGUCUCUUUUGCCGAACUGCUACGUUACGGAGACGUAAACACACCGGCAUCGGUUGUCAAGCGCAUCGGUUGUACAAACGCAGACACACAAACAUAUACACAGACAUACAUACAUAUAUAUAUGUGUGUGUAUAUAUAUAUAUAUAUAUAUAUAUAUAUAUAUAUAUACAUAUAUAUAUACACACACACGACGGGCUUCUUUCAGUUUCCGUCUACUAAAUCCACUCACAAGGCUUUGGUCGGCCCGGUAGAAGACACUCACCCAAGGUGCCACGCAGUGGGACUGAACCCCGAACCAUGUGGCUGAUUCACAAUGGGCUGCGAAAGACAAAUGAAAAAAUUGAGGGGGGAUGAUUGAGAGAGAAUAAGACGUAGAAGAAUCAGGAUCAUUUCUUGAUUAAGAACCAGAUGAAGGGGAAUCUGAAGAGGAAAAAGAGAGUACAGCUGAGGAAGGAACAACAGAUGAAGAAGAAAGGACAGAUGAAGUGGGAGGAACUGAAGCAGAUAGCAUGUUGCAGACUUCACCAGAUGAUCCUUUAGAAGAAACAGAUAAAGCUAAUGAUAAAGAUGAACAACAGGCUAACAAGAGCACAGAAAAAGGGUUUAUAGGCAAAAAUGAUAAAACUCUCUGAAAGAAGUCUCCCCAUGUCUUUCACGUGGUACACGCUCACACAAUAUAUACCAGGAUUCACCAGGACCAAGAGGAACAGCAGCAAAACACGUGUAUGCUGCAAAGGAUUAUUGGUCUUUGUUUCUCACACAAGAACUUCUGAAUGAAUUAAUAGCUUGCACUAAUAUCUACAUUGACAGUAAACAAGGAAAAUAUAAAGAUAAGUCAAAAGAAAGACAUAUUAAUAAAAGGGAGAUGAAAGCUGCAAUAGGACUGUUUUUCUGUUAGGAGUUUUUAGAGCUAACCGAAUGAAUAUGGAAGAUGUUUGGGCAACCGAUGCUACAGGAAUUGAAAUUUUUCCGGCAACUAUAUCUUUGCAGCGAUUUCGUUUCCUGCUGAGGUCUAUGAGGUUUGAUGACAUCCACACCCGGGCUGAAAGGAGGCUAGAAGAUAAGUUGGCACCUUUAAGAAAGUUCUUUGAGAAAUUUUUAUCUUCAGUUAUAAUGUCUCAGAGUAUGCGACAGUAGAUGAAAUGUUGACUGCCUUUAGAGAGAACUGUCUGUUCAGAGUCUACGUGUCAAGUAAACUAGCAAACUUUCCAUAAAAAUAUUUAUUUUGGCAGAUGCUAAAACUUUCUAUGUGUCACGUAUGGAGGUCUACUUGGGGAAACAACCAGUAGGCCCUUCUAUAGUAGAUAAUUCUGGUCUGGAAGAAAUAUUACAAUGGAUAAUUGGUUUACAAGUUACGGAGUUGCAGUUGCUUUCUUGACGAAUUAUAGUUUAACGUUAGUUGGCACUCCGAGAAAGAAUAAGAUAGAACCUGCCCCUCAGUUUGUUGUCACAAGAAGCAGAACUGAGUACACAAGUUUGUUUGGUCUCCAGAAGGAUGUUACACUAACCUCAUAUGUUUCUAAGAAAGGUAAAAACGUUGUCCUACUGAGCACAAUGCAUCAUGAUGCUGCAACUGAUGAAAGUACAAAAGAAAAAAGAAAACCAGAGAUUAUUACCUUCUACAGACACCGUUGACCAGUUGUGUUCCAUCUACAAUGUUUCCAGAAAUACUCGACGUUGGUCAGUUACAGAUUUCUACACCAUACUCAAUGAUGACCCCAUAUGCUUGCUGGCUUCCGGUAUGCGGAGUUCUCGACUGGUAGCACUUGCAUGUGCGAGUUGUUUGCAAGACAUUCAUGGCAAAUUUUCAAACAGCUAUCAGGCGCCGAAAGUUUCUGAGGGAAUUGGGACUCAAGUUGGUGGAGGACCAUAUCCAUCAUCGCAAGACAAAGCCAUAUUUCAGAAAUGACUUGAAAAGGAAGAUUCAACAUUUCUCAGCAUCUAAGGAAUUACCUCCAAAACGUCAUCGUGAAGAUUCCAUACAAAGAUGCUCAUUGUACCCCAGGGUAAAAUAUCGUAAGACAAGAAAUUGCUGCCAGAAGUGCUAUAAACCCAUUUGCUUGAAACAUGCAAUGCAAAUUUGCAUUGACUGCUUUGCUCAGAGUGAUGAGGAUGAUAAUACAAACAAUGAGUAAACAGUAAAUAUGAAAGGAGCACUCUCCCCACCAAAAAAAUAGUCUUAUUUUGCUUGACCUUCAUUUUCAAAAAGUACUCGUUUGUUUCUGU